GCAAGUCGAGAGAGAGAGUCGGGUGGAGCGGCGGACGGGUUAGUAACGCGUGGGAAUAUACCCAGUUCUAAGGAAUAGCCACUGGAAACGGUGAGUAAUACCUUAUACGCCCUUCGGGGGAAAGAUUUAUCGGAAUUGGAUUAGCCCGCGUUAGAUUAGAUAGUUGGUGGGGUAAUGGCCUACCAAGUCUACGAUCUAUAGCUGGUUUGAGAGGAUGAUC
This 220-nucleotide ribosomal RNA is filed under the name uncultured bacterium. RNAcentral's name for it is "partial 16S ribosomal RNA". It matches the Rfam family "Bacterial small subunit ribosomal RNA", at positions 57 to 305 of the family's 1533-position model. The record is from RNAcentral.